AGGAGGAUCAACCGCAGUGGCACCGGCCAGCUCUGGAGCCCUGGAUUCAGCUCCCGCAGUAACUCCGGAUCUCUCCGUCUGCAGGGCCUGGAUGCUUUGGGGUCGG
This 106-nucleotide microRNA precursor is filed under the name Canis lupus dingo (dingo). Its description in RNAcentral is "mir-8834 microRNA precursor family". It matches the Rfam family "mir-8834 microRNA precursor family". Lineage: Eukaryota; Metazoa; Chordata; Mammalia; Carnivora; Canidae. The record is from Rfam by way of RNAcentral.